UACGGAGGGUGCAAGCGUUAAUCGGAAUUACUGGGCGUAAAGGGCGCGUAGGCGGUCUGUUAAGCCAGAUGUGAAAGCCCCGGGCUCAACCUGGGAAUUGCAUUUGGAACUGGCGGACUUGAGUGCAGGAGAGGAAGGUAGAACUCCCGGUGUAGCGGUGAAAUGCGUAGAGAUCGGGAAGAAUACCAGUGGCGAAGGCGGCCUUCUGGACUGACACUGACGCUGAGGCGCGAAAGCGUGGGUAGCAAAC
RNAcentral lists this ribosomal RNA (250 nucleotides) under uncultured Carnimonas sp. RNAcentral's name for it is "partial 16S ribosomal RNA". It matches the Rfam family "Bacterial small subunit ribosomal RNA", at positions 524 to 773 of the family's 1533-position model. Lineage: Bacteria; Pseudomonadati; Pseudomonadota; Gammaproteobacteria; Oceanospirillales; Halomonadaceae. The record is from RNAcentral.